RNAcentral lists this transfer RNA (70 nucleotides) under Anhinga anhinga (American anhinga). RNAcentral describes it as "tRNA-Arg". Lineage: Eukaryota; Metazoa; Chordata; Aves; Suliformes; Anhingidae. The record is from RNAcentral.
AGAAAGUUAGUCUAAACCAAGACAGUUGAUUUCGACUCAACAAAUCAUAGCUUACUGCCAUGGCUUUCUU